Molecule: long non-coding RNA, 3009 nt
Organism: Meriones unguiculatus (Mongolian gerbil)
Lineage: Eukaryota; Metazoa; Chordata; Mammalia; Rodentia; Muridae
Exons: 3
Source: RefSeq, a predicted model, not a curated record
UGUCUCCUUCUGUCCUGAUUUAGUAACUUAACUAUUUCCCUUGUUUUUAUUUAUUCACUUAGUUUUGGUCAGCUUAACGAUAUCUUAGAUAAUUUUAUUUGUUGGUUUUGGUUCUAUUGUUUCAUUUAUUUACACUUUAAUAUUUUUCUUUCUAUCAGAAUAGACUAAACCUCUACCACUUACCAUUUUUUAAAGUGUUCUUCUUAAACUAGGUGUGAUGCCCAUCAUCUGAACACGCAGGAGGCAGAGGUAGGAGCAGGUUCAAGGCCAGGCUGGGCACACAGUGAGUUCCUGGCCAGACAAAGCUACAUAGUGAGACUUUGUCACAAACACUGAAAAUGGAAAAAAAACAAAAAAACAAUAAAGUUAUUUUCUUCCCUUUUUUCUUCAGUUCUUCAAGACAAGUUUUCUCUGUGUAACAGCCCUGGCUGUUCUGGGACUGGCAUUGUAGACCAGGCUGUCCUCAAACUCACAGAGAUCCGCCUGCCUCUGUCUCUUGAGCACUGGGAUUAAAGGAAUGUACUGCUAUCUCUGGCAACAAUAGAGUUCUUCAUCUAUAGUAAUAACAUUUUUUCUUCAGAAAAGGAGAUUUAUUUAUUUAUUUAUUUAUUUAUUUAUGUAUAUGAGUUUUCUGUCUGUAUGGAUUUCUGCAUGUGGAAGAGGGCUUCAGGUCCUAUUACAGAUGGUCAUGAGCCACCAUGUGGUCCCUGGGACUUGAACUCAGGACCUCUGGAAGAGCAGCUUGUACUCUCAACUGCUGAGGCAUUUCUCCAGCCCCCAUAGUAAUGUUUUGGUCACUUGUACAGCCACUUAAUAAUAGACCCAUAUAUAUAUAAAGCAAAUAAUAGACAUAUAAUAUAUGUAUAUAUAUUAAGCAAAACCCAAUGCAGUUGAAGAGACAAGUGGGCAAGCCAACAAAAUUAGUUGGGAAUUUAUAAACCCCACUUUUUUUUUGAGACAGUGUCUUCCAUAGCUUAGAUUGACUUUAAACUUGCUGGGUUGCCAAGGAUAACCUUGAACUUCUGAUCCUCCUGCCUUUAUGUUCCUGGUACUGGGAAUACUGGUAUGUGCCAUAGGCUUGGCUUUAUGUGGUGAUGGGGGCUCUAAGCCAGGGCUUUGUGUUGGAGAAGUACUCUGCUAACCCUAAAUUUCACUUUUAAUAAUGGAUAGAGCAGGUAGGCAGAAGAUAUGCUGGGAUGUACAAGAUCUGAACAGAACUAUAGAUGCAACUGCGGAUGAACCUGUUCUUUUCUGCACUGGGAACAAACCUGGGAGCUUAGACACACGGGUGAAAUUCUAUACAACUGCAAAGAAAACAAAAUCAAGAAAGUUGCUGGUAAAUGGAUGGACAAAGAAAAAUUCCACUGAGGCUGAAUGUGAUUGCUGAAGACACUACGUACUUAGGACCAGGACUUGGAUUACUGGCUCUGGAUCUAAUCCGAAAGCCUUCUACGCAGGCUGCCAGGGGAGUGAAGCAGGCGCUAGUGCUUCCCACCCAGCUGCAGCACCUGUGAGCAGUGACCAUCAUAGCAGGGUGUGCCUGAAGAUGCAGUUAGGGCGCUCAGACGUUGGUGUCUAGUGGCUUAAGGCAUCGGGAAAUCGUCCUUGGUACUAGAGACCUAGCCAGCUUUCCCAGUGAGUGAGAUCAUGAACCUUAGAAAAGGAUUUGUCACUGCCACUUUCCUAGACCAGUAUAAUUUCUUUCUACGUUCUAAAUCUUACCCUAACACCCACAGUAUAAGGAGACACAUGUUAAUGAGCUACCACCCCUCAUCAGAAAAUCUUCUCUCUACAGCAAAUGGAGACCCCACACACUGGACACCACACAGAGAUGAACAACAGAUUGUGGGGAGCUCAGGCUCAAAAGAUACAUCGACAUCACAGUUCCUGCAUCUGUGGCAGGGGACCCGUGGAAGAGGGGACAGAAGGAUGAUAAGAGCCAGAACACCAAGAAGUCUGCUGUGAAAAGCCUCUCCUAGAAGUGGCUGCAGGAACAGGGCACGGCAAUGGCGAUAUCAGUGGACAUGUUAACACGGAAAGGAAAACAAAGAACUGAAGGCCACGUUAGUUGCAACACUGCCGGAGAGGGUGAGUCCCCUAAUGGUUAUCCAGUGCAGUGGUCAGCCCUGAAAACACACAAACAAACAUGGACUCAGCAGGUUGUAGUAAUAUUUGUGCAUACACACAUGCAUGUAUGCAUAUGUAUGUGUGUAACACUAAUGCAGAGAAAGAGACUUAUAGAUACAUAUAUGCAUAUAUGUAUACAUACCUUAUAUAUAAUGUAUAUACUUAAUAUCUAACAUAUGAUGCAUACAUGUAUAUAUAAUAUAAUAUAUAAUGUAUAUAUACAUAUAUGCAUAUAUGUAUCUAUAAGUCUCUUUCUCUGCAUUAAUGUUACACACACACACACACACACACACACACACAUAUAUAUAAUUUGAGGGAGGUAUGGACAAGGUUGGGAGGAGCUGGAGGGAGAAAAGAGAAGGGAAAGUUUUAUAUACAUAUAUAUUAAAAAUGAACAAAGCAAAGCCAUUAAAUUUGAAGAAACACUUUCUUCCGCAUGCAUGUGUGCACCACUUGCAUGGCUGCCGGCUGUGGUGGCCAGAAGAGGCCGUUAGAACCUCUGAGACCGGAGUUCGGAUGGUUGUGAGCAGCUCUGUGGGAGCUGGGAAUCAAGCCCCGGUCCCUGGACGAGCAGCCAGUGCUCUUACCAGCUGGCAUCUCCCAGCCCCACACCCCAGAUCAUAAUGAUUCUUUCAUGUACGAUUUCUGGAACAUAGAAGUCUAUAGGGAGACACUGGGUUAGUGGCUGACGGCCCCGGCAUGGGGAGGGCGCGGAAAGGGGAGCGGCUGCUGUGUGCAGAGCUUAAUUUUGGCAUCAUGAAAAAAUUUCCAGAAUCGAUUAGUGGUUGUAUAACCUGUGAAUCACCUAAACCCACUGAAUUCAACAUGUUUAGGGAAGGGGUUUUAUGGUCCUUGUAUUAUGCCUCAAUAAAAUGGUAAAAA